UACGUAGGGCGCAAGCGUUGUCCGGAAUUAUUGGGCGUAAAGAGCUCGUAGGCGGUUUGUCGCGUCUGCUGUGAAAACCUGAGGCCCAACCUCGGGCUUGCAGUGGGUACGGGCAGACUAGAGUGCGGUAGGGGUGACUGGAAUUCCUGGUGUAGCGGUGGAAUGCGCAGAUAUCAGGAGGAACACCGAUGGCGAAGGCAGGUCACUGGGCCGCAACUGACGCUGAGGAGCGAAAGCAUGGGGAGCGAACAGG
Molecule: ribosomal RNA, 253 nt
Filed under: uncultured bacterium
Lineage: Bacteria
Description: partial 16S ribosomal RNA
Rfam family: Bacterial small subunit ribosomal RNA
Source: RNAcentral